GCAGCACGGACUUCGGUCUGGUGGCGAGUGGCGAACGGGUGAGUAAUGUAUCGGAGCGUGAUUGCCUACAAUGGCUGAGAAUGCGCUGGCGGCGUAGCUAAUGCCGCACUCCCAUUGUCGGGGAAAGCAGGGGACCUUCAGGCCGCUCUCACCUGUUAAACGCAUGCGAUAUGGAUUCUGCAUUCGUUGUGGUGGGAGUAACGGCUCGCAAGGCGACGAUCCGUAGCUGGUUUAGGACGACCAGCCACACUGGGACGAGACACGGCCCAGACUCCUGAGAAGUGGCGAUGAAAUUUUGGACAAUGGGGAAACCCUGAUCCAGCCAUCCCGCGUGUACGAUGAAGACGCUGGUAUGCGCGCGCCUGGCUGGGAAAGAAACGCUGGAUAGCAAUACCCCGUGCAACUGACGAGUACCUACCACGAAGAUAAGCACCGGUAACUACGUGCCAGCAGCCGCCUGCGAAGCAAUACGCAAUGGUGCAAGCGUUAAUCGGAAUUACUGGGCGUAAAGCGUGCGAGCGGUUCCGGAAAGAAAAGAUGUGAAAUCAGGCUGUAUGAACUGCAUUUUUUAACUGCCGAGCUGAAGGUGUGUCAGGGAGGUGAAUUCCCGCGUGUGUGGUGAAAUGCGUAGAUAUGCGGAGGAACACCGAUGGCGAAGGCCUUGUAUCAUUAACGACGCUCUCUGUGCACGAAAGCGUGGGAGCAAACAGGAUUAGACACCUGGUAGUCCACUAACAAUGUCGCUAGCUGUUGGGGCCUUCCGGGCCUUGGUAGCGCAGCUAACGCGUGAAGUUGACCGCCACCAGGGAGCAGUCGCAAAUUCAGCUCGAAGGAAUUGGCGGGGACCCGCACAAGCGGUGGAUGAUGUGGAUUAAUUCGAUGCGCGCGAAAGAGCUGUACCUACGCCGUGUAUGGAAUCCGAAGAGAUUUGGGAGUGCUCGCAAGAACCGGAACACAGGUGCUGCAUGGCUGUCGUCAGCUCGUGUCGUGAGAUGUUGGGUUAAGUCCCACAACGAGCGCAACCCUUGUCUGGAGUAGUUGCUACGAAAGGGCACUCAAUGAGACUGCCGGUAAACCGCCGGAGGAAGGUGGGGAUGACGUCAAGUCCUCAUGGCCCUAUGGGUAGGGCUUCACGUCAUACAAUGGUCGGGACAGUGGGUCGCCAACCCGCGAGGGGGAGCCAAUCCCAGAAACCGAUCGUAGUCCGAAUUAAGUCUGCAACUCGACUGCGUGAAGUCGGAAUCGCUAGUAAUCGCGGAUCAGCCAGUGAAUACGUUCCUGGGUCUUGUACACACCACCCGUCACACCAUGGGAGUGGGUUUUACCAGAGAGGAAACAGGUUAGCCUAACCGUAAGGAGGGCGAUUACUACGGUAGGAUUCAUGACUGAAGGGUCGAGAAUCGUAACAAGAGCAAUGGCUUA
This 1422-nucleotide ribosomal RNA is filed under the name uncultured Bordetella sp. RNAcentral's name for it is "partial 16S-23S ribosomal RNA intergenic spacer". It matches the Rfam family "Bacterial small subunit ribosomal RNA". Lineage: Bacteria; Pseudomonadati; Pseudomonadota; Betaproteobacteria; Burkholderiales; Alcaligenaceae. The record is from RNAcentral.